GCCCUGUUAGCUCAGUUGGUUAGAGCGUCCGCCUAGUAAGCGGAAGGUCCCCAGUUCAACUCUGGGUCAGGGCA
Thoreauomyces humboldtii is the source of this 74-nucleotide non-coding RNA. NCBI's taxonomy places the organism in Eukaryota, Fungi, Chytridiomycota, Chytridiomycetes, Spizellomycetales, Powellomycetaceae. The record is from the annotation of a GenBank genome assembly.